This 699-nucleotide ribosomal RNA is filed under the name Klebsiella sp. RNAcentral's name for it is "bacterial SSU rRNA". It matches the Rfam family "Bacterial small subunit ribosomal RNA", at positions 47 to 735 of the family's 1533-position model. Lineage: Bacteria; Pseudomonadati; Pseudomonadota; Gammaproteobacteria; Enterobacterales; Enterobacteriaceae. The record is from RNAcentral.
CCUAACACAUGCAAGUCGAACGGUAACAGGAAGCAGCUUGCUGCUUCGCUGACGAGUGGCGGACGGGUGAGUAAUGUCUGGGAAACUGCCUGAUGGAGGGGGAUAACUACUGGAAACGGUAGCUAAUACCGCAUAACGUCUUCGGACCAAAGWGGGGGACCUUCGGGCCUCAUGCCAUCAGAUGUGCCCAGAUGGGAUUAGCUAGUAGGUGGGGUAAUGGCUCACCUAGGCGACGAUCCCUAGCUGGUCUGAGAGGAUGACCAGCCACACUGGAACUGAGACACGGUCCAGACUCCUACGGGAGGCAGCAGUGGGGAAUAUUGCACAAUGGGCGCAAGCCUGAUGCAGCCAUGCCGCGUGUAUGAAGAAGGCCUUCGGGUUGUAAAGUACUUUCAGCGAGGAGGAAGGCGUUAAGGUUAAUAACCUUAGCGAUUGACGUUACUCGCAGAAGAAGCACCGGCUAACUCCGUGCCAGCAGCCGCGGUAAUACGGAGGGUGCAAGCGUUAAUCGGAAUUACUGGGCGUAAAGCGCACGCAGGCGGUCUGUCAAGUCGGAUGUGAAAUCCCCGGGCUCAACCUGGGAACUGCAUUCGAAACUGACAGGCUAGAGUCUUGUAGAGGGGGGUAGAAUUCCAGGUGUAGCGGUGAAAUGCGUAGAGAUCUGGAGGAAUACCGGUGGCGAAGGCGGCCCCCUGGACA